Molecule: ribosomal RNA, 425 nt
Filed under: uncultured bacterium
Lineage: Bacteria
Description: bacterial SSU rRNA
Rfam family: Bacterial small subunit ribosomal RNA
Source: RNAcentral
GUGGGGAAUCUUGCGCAAUGGGCGAAAGCCUGACGCAGCAACGCCGCGUGGGGGAUGAAGGCUCUCGGGUUGUAAACCCCUUUCAGCAGGGACGAAAUUGACGGUACCUGCAGAAGAAGCCCCGGCUAACUACGUGCCAGCAGCCGCGGUAACACGUAGGGGGCAAGCGUUGUCCGGAUUUAUUGGGCGUAAAGAGCUCGUAGGUGGCUAAGUAAGUCGGGUGUCAAAUCCCCAGGCUCAACCUGGGUCUCCACUCGAUACUGCUUUGGCUAGAGUCCGGUAGGGGAGCGUGGAAUUCCUGGUGUAGCGGUGAAAUGCGCAGAUAUCAGGAGGAACACCAGCGGCGAAGGCGGCGCUCUGGGCCGGUACUGACACUGAGGAGCGAAAGCGUGGGUAGCAAACAGGAUUAGAAACCCUAGUAGUCC